Molecule: long non-coding RNA, 350 nt
Filed under: Pelobates cultripes (western spadefoot toad)
Lineage: Eukaryota; Metazoa; Chordata; Amphibia; Anura; Pelobatidae
Source: RNAcentral
CCACCCACAGUCCGGCCCCUUCUGUAUGUGUAGCAAAGGCAGAGAUUACACACUUCCUUGUUGUCAUACCCAUUCAUACCGUCAGUUGGAGCUCUGACAGGUUAAAAGCAGUCAGCUGACACUCUCAGCCAAUCACAGCUGCCCAUUGCCUCUCGGGGUAAUACUUCCUUAUUAGCGAAAGCAGCACAGAGGGGAUAGACUGCCGUGGACUCUUAUUUAGCAUUAAAACAUUACAACAUUAAAAACUGUUUAAUGCUGAAAGAAAUGAUGGUACCAGGGGACUCCAGACACUAUAACCAGUUUAAUGAGAUGAAUCAGAUACAGUGCCUACGGUGUCCCUUUAAGGAUAG